UACGUAGGAGGCAAGCGUUGUCCGGAGUACUGGGCGUAAAGCGCACGCAGGCGGUCUUGUCAGUCUGUAGGGACAGGGCACAGCUCAACUGUGUCAGGCUUACGGAAACUGCAAGACUUGAGGGCUUCAGAGGGAUGGGGGAAUUCCGGGUGGAGUGGUGAAAUGCGUAGAGAUCCGGAAGAACACCAAAGGCGAAGGCACCAUCCUGGGGAGUCACUGAGCUCGGGUGCGAAAGCUAGGGGAGCGAACGGG
This 252-nucleotide ribosomal RNA is filed under the name uncultured bacterium. RNAcentral describes it as "partial 16S ribosomal RNA". It matches the Rfam family "Bacterial small subunit ribosomal RNA", at positions 524 to 776 of the family's 1533-position model. The record is from RNAcentral.